This 500-nucleotide ribosomal RNA is filed under the name uncultured bacterium. Its description in RNAcentral is "bacterial SSU rRNA". It matches the Rfam family "Bacterial small subunit ribosomal RNA", at positions 28 to 524 of the family's 1533-position model. The record is from RNAcentral.
GAUGAACGCUAGCGGCAGGCCUAAUACAUGCAAGACGAACGGUAAGUUGAGUAGCAAUACUUAGCCAAGAGUGUCGUACGGGUGCGUAACACGUAUGCAACCUACCCUAUACAGGAGGAUAGCCUAGGGAAACCUGGAUUAACCCUUCAUAGUAUUAUUGGAUGGCAUCAUUUGAUAAUUAAAACUGAGGUGGUAUAGGAUGGGCAUGCGUCUGAUUAGUUAGUUGGCGGGUAAUGGCCCACCAAGACGAUGAUCAGUAGGGGUUCUGAGAGGAAGAUCCCCCACACUGGCACUGAGAUACGGGCCAGACUCCUACGGGAGGCAGCAGUAGGGAAUAUUGGUCAAUGGGCGCAAGCCUGAACCAGCCAUGCCGCGUGCAGGAUGACGGCCCUAUGGGUUGUAAACUGCUUUUGUACGGGAAGAAACCUCAUUACGUGUAAUGAGUUGACGGUACCGUGAGAAUAAGGAUCGGCUAACUUCGUGCCAGCAGCCGCGGUAAU